Coturnix japonica (Japanese quail) is the source of this 618-nucleotide non-coding RNA. Lineage: Eukaryota; Metazoa; Chordata; Aves; Galliformes; Phasianidae. The record is from RefSeq and is a predicted model, not a curated record.
AAGAAGAAGAAAAAGAAAACGGGAAAAAAAAUACACAUUUUAAGCAGGAAGUUAUAAAACAAACAAUAUAAAUAAAGCAGAACAGCUUCAGACUAACCAUGGCACUUCAGUAAAUCCCAUUAGACAACUGUUCUCACCUUUAAGUAACUGAGUGUUUUAAAAGCCUGGCCCUCAACCACUCAGGUUUUAUUGAAAGUGAAUGGGAUUUGGGCUUUUAGAUUAUUCAGGACUUCUGAGAAAUUCCACCCACAAUGUUUAGCUUUGGAAAAGGUUUUAAGGUAACUGGGAGACCUGAAAGUCUGUUUCACAGUAGAGUGGGGGAAAAAGGCAAGCUGUAAGACCCAACAAAGGUGACUUUGGUUUUAACCAAUCUAUCCAUGGACAGUGUUUGAGAAGAACAUCAGAGGCUGUGGAUGCAGAACGGAUGCUAUGGGCCUGGGGUGGUCAACAUCAAAAAUGAGAUGUGUUUUCUGUAUCAGAAAAUGUUUAUGUUUGGCUUGGAUUCAAGUAAAGGCUCCUACUGGAAGACUUGGAGAAAAGACUUAAAAAACGAAAGUGCAAAAUCAUAUAAUUUUAAUUGUAAAUCACUGUUUGGUCUUUUAAAUAUAUAUAUAUAGA